CCGAUUAACGAGGCCUCUUGGACUCCCUCUCUCCACACUCCUGGCUAAUGGCCAUCUCUAUUUACCGAGUUAUGUCAACUACAACGUCAAAGACCCUCUCUGCAUCAUAAGUAUUUGCAGUUGAUAUGUGAGGCUAUCAAUGAACCUCCUAAUCCUUUCCCUAUAACCAGGAACCAACCAAACUACAUGAUGGGCCAAAUUAGAAAAUCAUAUCUCGUACCGCAUCACAUACAUGCCCUCCUAGCAUAACUACUCAAACUCUCAACACAGCUCCUCUCUACGAGACUGUGGCACGAACUUCUCCAAGAAGAGAAUAGAGAACUCAUGCCAUGUAAGUGGUGCUGCACCGCCCACCCUACGCCUCACAUAAGCCUCCCUCCAUCUAAAGGCUACCCCAGUAUAUUGAAAAGUAGUGAACAAGACCCCACUAGUCUUCAGAAUACCUGAUGUACAAAGAAACUACUGGCAUCUAUCCAAGAAGUUUUAAGCAUCCUCAGACUCAAUUCUACUGAAUGGUGGAGGUUAGAUCCUCCCAAACCUAUCUAAUCUCCGCUGCUCACCGUCAGUCAUAACAAGAACCAUAUAGCUUGAGCAGCUGCAAGCGGCUGGAUUAGUAAUGUCCCUGAUAUUUGAAAUCCAUGCACUACCAGCUCUGGAGUACACAUGACAGGGUAUGAGUACCUCCCCCGGUCUGAGAAGUGGCUGGUAGGGUCUAAGCUGAAACCGCCUGAGCAAGGAUGGUACAAACCGUCAAUAUAUGUGCUAGAGUCUCCUGGGUUAAAGGGGCGGCAGAGUUGGAAAAAUGAGUAAGGUUUGGGAGGGGGAUUAUGGGUAAUUAAAAAAGAAAAAU
This 850-nucleotide long non-coding RNA is filed under the name Nicotiana benthamiana. Its description in RNAcentral is "long non-coding RNA (NBEN_LNC010488)". Lineage: Eukaryota; Viridiplantae; Streptophyta; Magnoliopsida; Solanales; Solanaceae. The record is from RNAcentral.